UGAGGAAUAUUGGUCAAUGGGCGAGAGCCUGAACCAGCCAAGUAGCGUGCAGGAUGACGGCCCUAUGGGUUGUAAACUGCUUUUAUGUGGGGAUAAAGUGCGUGACGUGUCAUGCAUUGCAGGUACCACAUGAAUAAGGACCGGCUAAUUCCGUGCCAGCAGCCGCGGUAAUACGGAAGGUCCGGGCGUUAUCCGGAUUUAUUGGGUUUAAAGGGAGCGUAGGCUGUCUAUUAAGCGUGUUGUGAAAUUUACCGGCUCAACCGGUGGCUUGCAGCGCGAACUGGUCGACUUGAGUAUGCAGGAAGUAGGCGGAAUUCAUGGUGUAGCGGUAAAAUGCUUAGAUAUCAUGACGAACUCCGAUUGCGCAGGCAGCUUACUGUAGCAUAACUGACGCUGAUGCUCGAAAGUGCGGGUAUCAAACAGG
This 424-nucleotide ribosomal RNA is filed under the name Fusobacteriota bacterium. Its description in RNAcentral is "Fusobacteria bacterium partial 16S ribosomal RNA". It matches the Rfam family "Bacterial small subunit ribosomal RNA", at positions 355 to 776 of the family's 1533-position model. Lineage: Bacteria; Fusobacteriati; Fusobacteriota. The record is from RNAcentral.